Molecule: ribosomal RNA, 510 nt
Filed under: uncultured bacterium
Lineage: Bacteria
Description: partial 16S ribosomal RNA
Rfam family: Bacterial small subunit ribosomal RNA
Source: RNAcentral
GACGAACGCUGGCGGCGUGCUUAACACAUGCAAGUCGAACGAAGAGCGAUGGAAGCUUGCUUCUAUCAAUAUUAGUGGCGAACGGGUGAGGAACGCGUAAUCAACCUGCCCUUCAGAGGGGGACAACAGUUGGAAACGACUGCUAAUACCGCAUACGAUCUAAUCUCGGCAUCGAGGAUAGAUGAAAGGUGGCCUCUAUUUAUAAGAUAUCACUGACGGAGGGGAUUGCGUCUGAUUAGCUAGUUGGAGGGGUAACGGCCCACCAAAGCGAUGAUCGGUAGCCGGUCUGAGAGGAUGAACAGCCACAUUGGGACUGUGACACGGCCCAGACUCCUACGGGGAGCAGCAGUGGGGAAUCUUCCGCAAUGGUCGAAAGUCUGACGGAGCAACGCCGCGUGAGGGAUGACGGCCUUCGGGUUGUAAAGCUCUGUUAAUCGGGACGAAAGGCCUUCUUGCGAACAGUUAGAAGGAUUGACGGUACCGGAAUAGAAAGCCACGGCUAACUACGUG